Molecule: ribosomal RNA, 400 nt
Filed under: uncultured bacterium
Lineage: Bacteria
Description: bacterial SSU rRNA
Rfam family: Bacterial small subunit ribosomal RNA
Source: RNAcentral
UCGAGGAUCUUCGGCAAUGGACGAAAGUCUGACCGAGCGACGCCGCGUGUGCGAUGAAGGCCUUCGGGUUGUAAAGCACUGUCGAGAGGGAGAAAAGGCAACUUGAUCUAUCUCUGGAGGAAGGACGGGCUAAGUUCGUGCCAGCAGCCGCGGUAAGACGAACCGUCCAAACGUUAUUCGGAAUCACUGGGCUUAAAGGGCGCGUAGGCGGGCUAUCAAGUCCGGGGUGAAAUCCUCCAGCUUAACUGGAGAACGGCCUCGGAUACUGAUGGUCUCGAGGAAGAUAGGGGCAUGCGGAACUGGUGGUGGAGCGGUGAAAUGCGCUGAUAUCACUAGGAACUCCGGUGGCGAAGGCGGCAUGCUGGAUCUUUUCUGACGCUGAGGCGCGAAAGCCAGGGGA